AACGACCGCUUUCUUCCUUCCUAACACAUGCAAGUCGAACGAGACCUUCGGGUCUAGUGGCGCACGGGUGCGUAACGCGUGGGAACCUGCCCUUAGGUUCGGAAUAACUCCCCGAAAGGGGUGCUAAUACCGGAUAAUGUCUUCGGACCAAAGAUUUAUCGCCUUUGGAUGGGCCCGCGUUGGAUUAGCUAGUUGGUAGGGUAAAAGCCUACCAAGGCGACGAUCCAUAGCUGGUCUGAGAGGAUGAUCAGCCACACUGGGACUGAGACACGGCCCAGACUCCUACGGGAGGCAGCAGUGGGGAAUAUUGGACAAUGGGCGAAAGCCUGAUCCAGCAAUGCCGCGUGAGUGAUGAAGGCCUUAGGGUUGUAAAGCUCUUUUACCCGGGAUGAUAAUGACAGUACCGGGAGAAUAAGCUCCGGCUAACUCCGUG
Molecule: ribosomal RNA, 433 nt
Filed under: uncultured bacterium
Lineage: Bacteria
Description: partial 16S ribosomal RNA
Rfam family: Bacterial small subunit ribosomal RNA
Source: RNAcentral